RNAcentral lists this ribosomal RNA (253 nucleotides) under uncultured bacterium. RNAcentral describes it as "partial 16S ribosomal RNA". It matches the Rfam family "Bacterial small subunit ribosomal RNA", at positions 524 to 776 of the family's 1533-position model. The record is from RNAcentral.
GACGAGGGAUCCUAGCGUUGUUCGGAAUCACUGGGCGUAAAGCGUUUGUAGGCGGCUCUAUAAGUCGGGUGUGAAAUCCCACGGCUCAACCGUAGAAGUGCAUUCGAAACUGCAGAGCUUGAAUAUGGUAGAGGAGAGUAGAAUUCCUGGUGUAGUGGUGAAAUACGUAGAUAUCAGGAGGAAUACCGGUGGCGAAGGCGGCUCACUGGUCCGGUACUGACGCUGAGGUGCGAAAGCGUGGGGAGCAAACAGG